This 468-nucleotide ribosomal RNA is filed under the name uncultured bacterium. RNAcentral describes it as "partial 16S ribosomal RNA". It matches the Rfam family "Bacterial small subunit ribosomal RNA", at positions 28 to 507 of the family's 1533-position model. The record is from RNAcentral.
GACGAACGCUGGCGGCGUGCUUAACACAUGCAAGUCGAACGGAAAGGCCCUGCUUUUGUGGGGUGCUCGAGUGGCGAACGGGUGAGUAACACAUGAGUAACCUGCCCUUGACUUUGGGAUAACUUCAGGAAACUGGGGCUAAUACCGGAUAGGAGCUCCUGCUGCAUGGUGGGGGUUGGAAAGUUUCGGCGGUUGGGGAUGGACUCGCGGCUUAUCAGCUUGUUGGUGGGGUAGUGGCUUACCAAGGCUUUGACGGGUAGCCGGCCUGAGAGGGUGACCGGCCACCUUGGGACUGCGAUACGGCCCAGACUCCUACGGGAGGCAGCAGUGGGGAAUAUUGCACAAUGGGCGGAAGCCUGAUGCAGCAACGCCGCGUGCGGGAUGACGGCCUUCGGGUUGUAAACCGCUUUCGCCUGUGACGAAGCGUGAGUGACGGUAAUGGGUAAAGAAGCACCGGCUAACUACGUG